CUCCCUUGAGCUUGAAGAAAGAAAAACUCCAACUGUUAACAAUUAUUAUAGAAAAUUAACUCCAUGGCUUUAAACAAAGACUCAUUCCAGGCUAUUUUUACAUCACAAAGGAGUAAAAAAACACUCUAGGAACUACAAUGAUAUGAAUUUAAAUUUCUAUGUGAAACACAGACAUAUUUAAUCCUAGAGAUAGAUGUAAGUUCAGUUCCUUCCGUUAGUCUCCUGUUGAAUUUGACUCCUUUCUAACAGUCUGUUGUCUGGACACUGCAGAAUGUCACAAUGGGAGCCAGCAGUACUUCCUUUAAAGAGCCAGCAAGGCUUGCUGUGGUCUUCUAGGGUCACCCAACAAAAAAGGCUUCCCUCUCCUUCCUGAUUUUUCACAGCAUUUGUUGGCCAAGGUUGGCUGUGUCUUUUAGAAAGCCCCCAGUCUUGAUUUCCUAACUGUGAGUGGCUGAUUGCCACAGCUGGCAAUGAUGUUUAUGAGCUUUUGGCUUUUGGGUUUGAACACUGCUGACUUCUGUUGCCAAACUCUGGGUAUUGUGACUUUGUCUUCUAGAUUAUCACUUUAUUACAGGUGAAGGAGGCUGUGAUUCUGUCUGUGGCACAAGGGAAGCAGCAGAGAAGAGGUAAUUUUCUCCCUGGUGAAUAUAUCGGAGGCUUUUGCAAACCACCUCCCAGUGACUGCGAUGAAGUGGUUUCACUCCUGGCAGCAAGGAGCAAGCCCAGCAGUGGUGCUGGCUUGUUGUUCUGUGUCUCUCUGAGCCCCACACACCUGAAAGCCUGCAACCUGGCGUGGUCCCUCCUCUGAGGCAUUUCACAUGAAGCUAGGAGAUAAUAUUCUCUCCCAGGAGUUCCCAAUGGAAAGGCUUACACAGCUGCCAACUCUGCUAAGAGUUGCCUCUCACCUUGAUAGUCAAAUCAAGAUUC
Molecule: long non-coding RNA, 927 nt
Organism: Coturnix japonica (Japanese quail)
Lineage: Eukaryota; Metazoa; Chordata; Aves; Galliformes; Phasianidae
Source: Ensembl